UGCAUAGCUCAGUGGGUAGAGCGUGAGACUCUUAACCUCAAGGACAUGGGUUUGAGCCCCACAUUGGACAA
Molecule: transfer RNA, 71 nt
Filed under: Podarcis lilfordi (Lilford's wall lizard)
Lineage: Eukaryota; Metazoa; Chordata; Lepidosauria; Squamata; Lacertidae
Description: tRNA.Lys
Rfam family: tRNA (bases 5-62)
About the family: Transfer RNA (tRNA) molecules are approximately 80 nucleotides in length. Their secondary structure includes four short double-helical elements and three loops (D, anti-codon, and T loops).
Source: RNAcentral